CAAGAGCCUCCAGAGAUUUGGGAUAGUUUAACCCAUUCACUGCCUCGAGGAUCUGCUCGUUGCUGUGGAUUUCUGGCAGAUAAUCUGUGUUUUUUCACUGGUCCCUACUGCAAAGGUGUAAAUCUCUGAGAGGCUGGAAUCAAUCUACAGAGUUGGAUGUUUCAUUAACACUCAGAUGUGAGCACCAGUGAUGUAAAUUCCAUCAUUCCACUCCACACUGCAGCAUAUCUGAGGUGAGUAAAUCCUUCUGAAGUAGCUACCAAAUUGGCUUCAUUUUUCUUCUUGCACGUUAACCUCUGUAAAGAAACUGAAGUGAAAGAUUGAGUCUGUUCAGCUUGAACCCAGUCUUACAGAAAAGGAAAGCAGAGAGGUUUGAGUCAUUUAUUAAAA
Long non-coding RNA from Melospiza georgiana, 390 nucleotides. RefSeq lists it as uncharacterized. The record is from RefSeq and is a predicted model, not a curated record. The transcript is spliced from 3 exons. Lineage: Eukaryota; Metazoa; Chordata; Aves; Passeriformes; Passerellidae.